Molecule: ribosomal RNA, 438 nt
Filed under: uncultured bacterium
Lineage: Bacteria
Description: partial 16S ribosomal RNA
Rfam family: Bacterial small subunit ribosomal RNA
Source: RNAcentral
AACGAACGCUGGCGGCAUGCCUAACACAUGCAAGUCGAACGAGACCUUCGGGUCUAGUGGCGCACGGGUGCGUAACGCGUGGGAACCUGCCCUUAGGUUCGGAAUAACUCCCCGAAAGGGGUGCUAAUACCGGAUAAUGUCUUCGGACCAAAGAUUUAUCGCCUUUGGAUGGGCCCGCGUUGGAUUAGCUAGUUGGUAGGGUAAAAGCCUACCAAGGCGACGAUCCAUAGCUGGUCUGAGAGGAUGAUCAGCGACACUGGGACUGAGAAACGGCCCAGACGACUACGGGAGGCAGCAGUGGGGAAUAUGGGACAAGGGGCGGAAGCAUGAUGCAGCAACGCCGCGUGCGGGAUGAAGGCCUUCGGGUUGUAAACCGCUUUCGUCUGUGACGAAGCGUGAGUGACGGUAAUGGGUAAAGAAGCACCGGCUAACUACGUG